UACAGAGGGCUCAAGCGUUGUUCGGAUUCAUUGGGCGUAAAGGGUGCGUAGGCGGCGCGGUAAGUCGGGUGUGAAAUCUCGGGGCUUAACUCCGAAACUGCAUUCGAUACUGACGGCCUUGAGUACGAAAGAGGAUCGCGGAAUUCCCGGUGUAGAGGUGAAAUUCGUAGAUAUCGGGAGGAACACCGGUGGCGAAGGCGGGUCUCUGGGCAGUAACUGACGCUGAGGAGCGAAAGCGUGGGGAGCGAACAGG
This 253-nucleotide ribosomal RNA is filed under the name uncultured bacterium. RNAcentral describes it as "partial 16S ribosomal RNA". It matches the Rfam family "Bacterial small subunit ribosomal RNA", at positions 524 to 776 of the family's 1533-position model. The record is from RNAcentral.